RNAcentral lists this transfer RNA (90 nucleotides) under Acidobacteriota bacterium. RNAcentral describes it as "Acidobacteria bacterium (wastewater metagenome) tRNA-Ser". It matches the Rfam family "tRNA". Rfam says of the family: Transfer RNA (tRNA) molecules are approximately 80 nucleotides in length. Their secondary structure includes four short double-helical elements and three loops (D, anti-codon, and T loops). Further hydrogen bonds mediate the characteristic L-shaped molecular structure. tRNAs have two regions of fundamental functional importance: the anti-codon, which is responsible for specific mRNA codon recognition, and the 3' end, to which the tRNAs corresponding amino acid is attached (by aminoacyl-tRNA synthetases). tRNAs cope with the degeneracy of the genetic code in two manners: having more than one tRNA (with a specific anti-codon) for a particular amino acid; and 'wobble' base-pairing, i.e. permitting non-standard base-pairing at the 3rd anti-codon position. The record is from RNAcentral. Lineage: Bacteria; Pseudomonadati; Acidobacteriota.
GGAGAGGUGUCCGAGCGGUUUAAGGAGCACGCUUGGAAAGCGUGUGUAGGGGCAACUCUACCGCGGGUUCGAAUCCCGCCCUCUCCGCCA